Molecule: long non-coding RNA, 1378 nt
Organism: Tetranychus urticae (two-spotted spider mite)
Lineage: Eukaryota; Metazoa; Arthropoda; Arachnida; Trombidiformes; Tetranychidae
Source: RefSeq, a predicted model, not a curated record
GAUCUUUUGAAUAUUCCCACCAAAACGUUUGGCAACCAAAAGAUAUUCAAACCUUUUCUAAUUUAACUAAACAUCUAAAUCAAGUGAUUGUCCUAUUCAUCAAUUAAUAUGUUCAUCAAGCAGUUAACCAACGAUAAACAACUUUGAUUGACCAACUUGAUGCCUUGAUUCCAGUGUAUGGAUGUCUCAAACAUGGUAUUGAUUCUUGAUUCUGAUGAUCAGUCUAUCAAUUGUUACUUUAUUUACAGUUUAAUUGCUACAUAAUAUCCUAUAAGGUUGAAUCGUUUGAAUUACACAAAGUGAACCUUAAAUUUCACUUUUACCUUCAAGCUGAUUAAAGAUUACAAAUCCAUCUAUAUUUAAGAAGUGGAUUAACAUUGACAAUCGCCAAUCAUCUAAAUAGCAGUUUCAUUUGAUGAGCAUUUCGUUGUAGCAGCUGAUGAUGCUCUGGGCGUUGAAGAAAAAAAGGAUUCAUGAAAAAAAUGAUAUUUUUUUCAACUCUUUCAUACUCAUUUUGAUGAUCAUUUUGCUUAUUGAAAAUACCAACUUACAUUUGAUUACCUGAUUAGAGAAGGUAAUAGAAAGUUAAAGAGAAAGUAAAGGUUAUUAGUCUAUUAAUCUUUAAUCAAAACUAAAAUAAAAAUGAUAUCUGAUGUUUCCUAAUCUUCAAUCAGAUGAUCCAUCUUUUAGAAUCACUAUUUCACGGUUUACAUCUAAUUGUCUUUUUUGCAGCAAAUCAAAAGCUGACCCACAAACUGGUAAUAUCAAUUUCUGAUUAAUGUCAACAAAAUUAAACCUUUCGCAUGGGAAAUUUGGAAGUCCAUUUGAGUUUCAAACGUGAGAAACAAUUGGUUUCAUCUAAUGACGAGAAACAAUUUAAUUGUAUAAUUUCAGGGAUAACAGUACAUAUAAUUGCUUGAAAUAUGCAACUUACAGUCAUCAAACACUCAGUACAAGUUCAACAAUAAAAGCUUCCUUUGUUAUUGUUCACAUAUUAACACCGGAAUUGUCCAUAUUAUAUAAAUAAAUCAGACGGCCAGUAAAUAGAGCAGACAUGUAAAAAAUUUAUGGUUACUAUAAAUACACAGUUAACACAAUUGUCACAUUUAUGCACAAAUUGACCUCAUGUGUUUUGUAGCAACUAUUUUGGCCCUUUCACAGCUUACAUAAGAAAAAUGAUCUUAUGGAAAGAUCUGGCUCCAUAAUAGUACAAAAAGAUAUCCAAGUUUCAAGUUUGAACUCGAUUUUCUCAAAAUGUCGAUCAGAGAAAUUUUUAAACAAAAAUAAACUCAGAACUUAUUUCCCUACAAACAAACAGAGUCUAAAUUUGUACUUAAUUUUGGUAAUAAAAUAAUCUUUUUGUCCGUUUUUACCUUUG